CACGGUAACUCCCCGUCCGCAUGCCCCGCUUAGGCUGAAGACGCCACCCCGCAUCCUUCCUCCUACCCAAGGAGAAACCCUAACCCUCGCCUGGAAGGGGCAAGAGCGAGAGCGCGAGGGAGAGCAAUGGAUCGUUCCAAGCUGGGCGAGCUACAUUCGUACGUGGAGGCUUGCAAGAAGGCUCCCGUCGCCCAUGUCGCCGCCAUUGCCCGGUCGCAGAUUGGAGCACGGAACCGCCUCGCACCUCCUGCCACCCGCCGCCACUUUGCCAGGCAGGACACCCUUCUUCCAUGCUUAAGCUGAGUUGAUCUUCUCAUCUGGCGGGCUCAAGCUCCUCGUGGUCAUCCGAGCUGACCUCCUCGCCUUGAUAGGAUUACAUUCAUCAUUUUGGACGUACUGCACCUGGUGAUAAAGGAAAAGGAACUGUAUUGUUAUUCUUCAUGCCCAAACAAUUAGAGUUUCUCAUCUCCUUGAGGGCAGCCAACAUUCAUCUCACAGAGCACGAGUUUAAUAACAAGAAUGUGCCAAAAUGCAAGCACAUUUUGAUAAAAUUGCUGGCGAUAGCUACUUCCUACAUCAGUCGGCUCAGCCAGCCUAUAGAUCCUACAUUCUACCAUACGACUCACACGCCAUGAAAGACAUCUUUAGUGUUCAUGGUCUCAGUUUGAAGGUAAAAUGCUUCUUGAAGGUUUUUGUGGGAUCUCUGUAUUUUGAUGUUUCGCUGGUUUACAGGUCGCUGUUAUUUUGGAUAGCAUGUAGAAGCAACCUUGUCUUUUUGUUAAUAUUUCGGUGAGCAUCUCCCAGAAGUACUUGGCUGAUAGUAUUUUCAUCACCGCUAAUAUUUUUGUUUCAUGAAAAGGUUCUCCUGUUUAUCUUGUGUAAACUGACUUCACAUACCAAAUUUGUUUUUAAUGUCCAAUUCACUACGAUUUGCCAGGACGUAGGUGCAUCAUUUUUUUUGAGGAACAGUAGGUGCAUCAUUUUACUUUAGCAACCCUCCAAAAGUGGAAAUUGGCCUGGAGUGCAGAGUUAUGAGGAAAAUAUGUUAUAACAGAAUUGUUGGUUCUAGACAGAGGCGAAAGAGGCAUUGCAUCACUGCUGCAAAUCCUUAAUUAUAACAGGUAGUUUGCAAGAUUAGAGAGGGCCAGAUUCUUUCGGUUGUUUGUUAUGACACAAAUACAAAAGCUGAAAUGAUUUAAUAUAUGGACCAAAUCAAGGACAUAGUUCAGCGGAUGGGAUAAAGCCAUACAAAGUUACAUAUACAAGUAAUUGUUUCCAAUCUUUCUAUGAGCAUGAACCUGAGUUAAUAUCGAAAGUGCUCGCCUAUGUGAUUACCAUCUUUUUUCCUCAUCUCCUUUCUUUAACAGGUUACAAUUGUAAAUUUGGAAAGGAAAUUGAUAUUUUUAACUCUUGUUCCAAAACAGGUGGCCUUGAAUUUGGUAAAACUUGCAUGCCUGUCCCUAUUUAUUUUGAAAUUUUGGGCAAACUCUGUAUGGUUUUCUGUUGGACAACAUCGGCGAGAAGGCAAGAUGCUAAAGUAUUUAAGGUUUGCGCCUUGCCUCCUUUUGAUUUAGGUGGAAAUUAGUUCAUGGACCAAUUCUUUCUUUUGAUGUUUUAUUAUUGUUUUUCUUUUAUAGCCGAGGAACUAGCAUAAUUUUUUACAGGAUUGAUCGAUUUGUUGAUUUGUUUGUUUUAUUUUGUUCCUGUAGUUGUAGUCUCACUAGUAGAAAAAGGGCCUAUUGUC
Triticum aestivum (bread wheat) is the source of this 1744-nucleotide long non-coding RNA. RefSeq lists it as uncharacterized. NCBI's taxonomy places the organism in Eukaryota, Viridiplantae, Streptophyta, Magnoliopsida, Poales, Poaceae. The record is from RefSeq and is a predicted model, not a curated record. The transcript is spliced from 6 exons.